Molecule: ribosomal RNA, 66 nt
Filed under: Santolina rosmarinifolia
Lineage: Eukaryota; Viridiplantae; Streptophyta; Magnoliopsida; Asterales; Asteraceae
Description: partial 5.8S ribosomal RNA
Source: RNAcentral
GAGUUUUUGAACGCAAGUUGCGCCCGAAGCCUUUUGGCCGAGGGCACGUCUGCCUGGGCGUCACGC